This 468-nucleotide ribosomal RNA is filed under the name uncultured bacterium. Its description in RNAcentral is "partial 16S ribosomal RNA". It matches the Rfam family "Bacterial small subunit ribosomal RNA", at positions 28 to 507 of the family's 1533-position model. The record is from RNAcentral.
GACGAACGCUGGCGGCGUGCUUAACACAUGCAAGUCGAACGGAAAGGCCCUGCUUUUGUGGGGUGCUCGAGUGGCGAACGGGUGAGUAACACGUGAGUAACCUGCCCUUGACUUUGGGAUAACUUCAGGAAACUGGGGCUAAUACCGGAUAGGAGCUCCUGCUGCAUGGUGGGGGUUGGAAAGUUUCGGCGGUUGGGGAUGGACUCGCGGCUUAUCAGCUUGUUGGUGGGGUAGUGGCUUACCAAGGCUUUGACGGGUAGCCGGCCUGGGAGGGUGACCGGGCCCAAUGGGACUGGGGAACGGGCCAGAGUGCAUCGGGGGGCAAGAGUGGGGAAUUGUGCCAAAAGGGCCGAAGGCGUGAUGAGGGACGCCGGGUGGGGGAAGACGGCCUUUGGGGUGGAAACCGGUUUCGGCUGGGAAGAAGCGUGAGUGACGGUAAUGGGUAAAGAAGCACCGGCUAACUACGUG